RNAcentral lists this long non-coding RNA (255 nucleotides) under Helianthus annuus (common sunflower). RNAcentral describes it as "sRNA HanXRQr2_Chr16g0766641". Lineage: Eukaryota; Viridiplantae; Streptophyta; Magnoliopsida; Asterales; Asteraceae. The record is from RNAcentral.
GAGGAAGAGGAAGACUUCUCGUCUGAAAAUGUUAUUACCAGACGAAUACGGAUUAACAGAGACCGCCAAGGAGCGCACGAGAAAUUGGUGAACGAUUAUUUUUCGGAUGAACCACUUUACAAUAACGAGAUUUUCAGACGCAGGUUCCGAAUGAGUUGCCGCUUAUUCACACGGAUUGCUAAUGAUUUGGCGGGGCUAGACCCGUUUUUCACGCAACGACCUGAUGCUCGAAAUUAUGAAGGGUUCACCACGUUA